CUACGGGUUGCACCAGUAGGGAAUUUUCGGCAAUGGACGGAAGUCUGACCGAGCAACGCCGCGUGAAUGAAGAAGUAUUUCGGUAUGUAAAAUUCUUUUAUUAGGGACGAAAAAACAAAUUGACGGUACCUAAUGAAUAAGCCCCGGCUAACUACGUGCCAGCAGCCGCGGUAAUACGUAGGGGGCAAGCGUUAUCCGGAAUUAUUGGGCGUAAAGGGUGCGUAGGCGGCUGAUUAAGUCCAUGGUAAAAAUGCAAGGCUUAACCUUGUAGGGCCAUGGAUACUGGUCAGCUAGAGUAUGGUAGAGGUAAGUGGAAUUCCAUGUGUAGCGGUAAAAUGCGUAAAUAUAUGGAGGAACACCAGUGGCGAAGGCGGCUUACUGGACCAAGACUGACGUUGAGGCACGAAAGCGUGGGGAGCAAACAGGAUUAGAUACCCCUGUAGUC
RNAcentral lists this ribosomal RNA (445 nucleotides) under uncultured bacterium. RNAcentral's name for it is "partial 16S ribosomal RNA". It matches the Rfam family "Bacterial small subunit ribosomal RNA", at positions 339 to 795 of the family's 1533-position model. The record is from RNAcentral.